Molecule: long non-coding RNA, 346 nt
Filed under: Rosa chinensis
Lineage: Eukaryota; Viridiplantae; Streptophyta; Magnoliopsida; Rosales; Rosaceae
Description: sRNA RchiOBHm_Chr5g0080351
Source: RNAcentral
UGACAGAUUGAGGAAAAAAACGGGACAAGCCCGAGCUCUCCCCCUCCCUUUUCUUUUUCUUUCGCCGCCAGCCCUCUUCCACCAAAAAUUGACGUCGUCCGGCCACCUCCGUGCACACCGCUCACCAUGGCAUGAUCCUCCCUCCCUCCUUUACCUAGAUAUCUUGUUUUGAGCUGUGGAGGAAGAAUUCAAGGUGAUUGGGGACGUGAACAGUAGCAUGAACAGUUGCAUCCGCGUUCUUGAGUUUGGGUUUGAAAUUCCGGCUUUUUCUGCUUGUGUUGGUUGUUGUUGCAGGACGUACUGAGCCCUCGAGCGAGGAGGACACAGGCAGGCAGCAGGGUUAGCU